GUAGGUGAACCUGCGGAAGGAUCAUUAUUGAAUAAACUUGGUUAGGUUGCUGCUGGUCUUUAGGGACAUGUGCACACCUGAUUCAAUUUUAACCACCUGUGCACCUUUUGUAGACUUGGAUAUUUGUCUGAGGAAACUCAGUAUGAGGAUUGCUGUGCGAAAGUCAGCUUUUCUUGCAUUCCUAGUCUAUGUUUUAUAUACCCCAAUAAGCAAGUAAUAGAAUGUAAUUAAUAGGCCUUUUGUGCCUUUAAAGCAAAUAUAACUUUCAACAACGGAUCUCUUGGCUCUC
This 289-nucleotide unclassified non-coding RNA is filed under the name rhizosphere metagenome. RNAcentral's name for it is "partial ribosomal RNA internal transcribed spacer region". The record is from RNAcentral.